This 489-nucleotide ribosomal RNA is filed under the name uncultured bacterium. RNAcentral describes it as "partial 16S ribosomal RNA". It matches the Rfam family "Bacterial small subunit ribosomal RNA", at positions 28 to 507 of the family's 1533-position model. The record is from RNAcentral.
GACGAACGCUGGCGGCGUGCUUAACACAUGCAAGUCGAACGGUGAAGGGACCAGCUUGCUGGUUCUGGAUGAGUGGCGAACGGGUGAGUAACACGUGAGUAACCUGCCCCCUUCUUCUGGAUAACCGCAUGAAAGUGUGGCUAAUACGGGAUAUUCUGGGUCUGUCGCAUGGCGGGCCCGGGAAAGAUAUUGCUUCGGUGGGGGAUGGGCUCGCGGCCUAUCAGCUUGUUGGUGGGGUGAUGGCCUACCAAGGCGGUGACGGGUAGCCGGCCUGAGAGGGUGGACGGUCACACUGGGACUGAGACACGGCCCAGACUCCUACGGGAGGCAGCAGUGGGGAAUAUUGCACAAUGGGCGCAAGCCUGAUGCAGCGACGCCGCGUGAGGGAGGGAGGCCUUCGGGGUGUAAACCUCUUUCGCCAGUGAAGCAGGCCUGCUCCUUGUGGGUGGGUUGACGGUAGCUGGAUAAGAAGCGCCGGCUAACUACGUG